CGGGGCGUAGCGCAGUCUGGUCAGCGCGACUGGUUUGGGACCAGUAGGUCGGGGGUUCAAAUCCCUCCGCCCCGACCA
This 78-nucleotide transfer RNA is filed under the name Oligosphaeraceae bacterium. RNAcentral's name for it is "tRNA-Pro". It matches the Rfam family "tRNA". From Rfam's summary of the family: Transfer RNA (tRNA) molecules are approximately 80 nucleotides in length. Their secondary structure includes four short double-helical elements and three loops (D, anti-codon, and T loops). Lineage: Bacteria; Pseudomonadati; Lentisphaerota; Oligosphaeria; Oligosphaerales; Oligosphaeraceae. The record is from RNAcentral.